GAUGAACGCUGGCGGCGUGCUUAACACAUGCAAGUCGAACGAUGAAGCCCAGCUUGCUGGGUGGAUUAGUGGCGAACGGGUGAGUAACACGUGAGUAACCUGCCCUUAACUCUGGGAUAAGCCUGGGAAACUGGGUCUAAUACCGGAUAGGAGCGUCCACCGCAUGGUGGGUGUUGGAAAGAUUUAUCGGUUUUGGAUGGACUCGCGGCCUAUCAGCUUGUUGGUGAGGUAAUGGCUCACCAAGGCGACGACGGGUAGCCGGCCUGAGAGGGUGACCGGCCACACUGGGACUGAGACACGGCCCAGACUCCUACGGGAGGCAGCAGUGGGGAAUAUUGCCCAAUGGGCGCAAGCCUGAUGCAGCGACGCCGCGUGAGGGAUGCCGGCCUUCGGGUUGUAAACCUCUUUCAGUAGGGAAGAAGCGAAAGUGACGGUACCUGCAGAAGAAGCACCGGCUAACUACGUG
This 466-nucleotide ribosomal RNA is filed under the name uncultured bacterium. RNAcentral describes it as "partial 16S ribosomal RNA". It matches the Rfam family "Bacterial small subunit ribosomal RNA", at positions 28 to 507 of the family's 1533-position model. The record is from RNAcentral.